This is a long non-coding RNA of Balaenoptera ricei (Rice's whale), 668 nucleotides long. RefSeq lists it as uncharacterized. NCBI's taxonomy places the organism in Eukaryota, Metazoa, Chordata, Mammalia, Artiodactyla, Balaenopteridae. The record is from RefSeq and is a predicted model, not a curated record. The transcript is spliced from 3 exons.
ACAGAGCAGACGGCCGUCCUGCUGCUUCUUCUCUGUUCUCUUUCCACGGCCACCCGUCUGCCUCUGGGCCUGGAGCCAGAUGCUGCAUUCUAGAUGGAGACAGAAAAGGAGAGGUGGAGUGUGGCCCCGGAGCGUCAGCUGAGGGUGACCCUUUCCAGACUCGCAGGGCCCAGCGGACAUGGACCUGCUCUGGUGAUUCUAACGUCAGUGUCCAUAAUAAAGUGUUAUUGGGCCCAGCCUCCCACCAGCUACACCCGCAGAGGCUAAAAUGUUCCGUGUCACAGACCACGCCCUCUUCCGCUCCAGACACCCCGACUUCCUGUGUUGGGCUUGCAUGGAAGGCUGGGGCAGAGCCCGACGAGGCUAGGAAGCCAAGCAUCCUUGGUUCUCCAGGUCCUCCUGGCAGAAGAGAGAUGAUGGAUCCCAGGGACUGGGAAUAACUUGCCCAGGAGGCCGCUGGAUCAUGGCUGGAGCAGACACUGCUUUGAGCACCGAGGCCUGGAGGCCAGCUGGACGGCCCCCACGUGGAUGAAGAAAUGGCCAGGGGUUUGCAGAUGGUCCACGAGGAUACAGGGAGAAGGCAGCCGGCUAGUGACCAGAAAGUGAGGCGUCACCAGAUGCCAAAUAUGCCGGCGCCUUGAUCUCGACGUCCAGCCUCCUGACUGAGA